AGAUUGAACGCUGGCGGCAUGCCUUACACAUGCAAGUCGAACGGCAGCACGGGAGCAAUCCUGGUGGCGAGUGGCGAACGGGUGAGUAAUACAUCGGAACGUGCCCAAUCGUGGGGGAUAACGCAGCGAAAGCUGUGCUAAUACCGCAUAAGAUCUACGGAUGAAAGCAGGGGAUCGCAAGACCUUGCGCGAAUGGAGCGGCCGAUGGCAGAUUAGGUAGUUGGUGAGGUAAAGGCUCACCAAGCCUUCGAUCUGUAGCUGGUCUGAGAGGACGACCAGCCACACGUGGGACUGAGACACCGGCCAGACCU
RNAcentral lists this ribosomal RNA (311 nucleotides) under uncultured soil bacterium. RNAcentral describes it as "bacterial SSU rRNA". It matches the Rfam family "Bacterial small subunit ribosomal RNA", at positions 26 to 338 of the family's 1533-position model. The record is from RNAcentral.